This 782-nucleotide long non-coding RNA is filed under the name Rattus norvegicus (Norway rat). RNAcentral describes it as "long non-coding RNA NONRATT005919". Lineage: Eukaryota; Metazoa; Chordata; Mammalia; Rodentia; Muridae. The record is from RNAcentral.
GCUAUUCACUGGUCUCACUUUCCUGAAAGUACAAGGAGUACUUGUAAUGCCAGACUGUCUCCCUUCAAUUGUCCUCAUACUCUCUUUCAGGUCCAAUGUUCCUCAGGAGCCUUUGGGUACUCUUAUUAGGAUGGUACCCUUCCCAAAUGACUUCCAUGUCCACUUGCAGGACACAUCAUGUUCUCCGUUCUAGACAAGACUUCAUGAGUCUACUGUUAGUGUGUCUUUGUGAAGAGUCUCUAGCAAGGCCCAUCCAUACAGCAAUUAGUCCACUCUAUGUUAAAUGGAGGUUCCUUCUCUUGAAGAUAGGCUACGGUAAUGGAUACAAUACCUUCCAUUCUACCUCACGCCUCCCAUCCCAGGUAUUCAGAAAACUCAAACUGCUGGAACACUUAUUUAUUUGGUCUAAUAAAUCAAGAUCUGCAAAAAACAAACAAACAAAAAAACCCACAAUAACCUCUAAACAUAAGAUAAGAAACCUCUAACAUUAACAUUCUUCAAUUUUGAGUAAGCUCUGCAGUACGGAAAAUAUACAAACUUCAAAUAGCUGCAAAAAUAGUGUCUUUGGGUGAAAAUAGAGUUUCUACAUCAAUACAAGAAAAAUAGGCAUUUUUCUAAUUCAAUCCAACCCUGGGGUGGGUAGAGGAUAUGGAGCUGCUAUGUGUCCCCUGGGGCAGGUGGAGGGUAUGUGGCUGCUACAUGCCCCCUGGAGGAGUGCCAGAUCCUUCUUCCCACUCUUCAUUUUGGGCCGGGAUGCUGCUUAAGACAAUCUUCAGUCAGGG